Molecule: ribosomal RNA, 4920 nt
Filed under: Triticum aestivum (bread wheat)
Lineage: Eukaryota; Viridiplantae; Streptophyta; Magnoliopsida; Poales; Poaceae
Description: partial small subunit ribosomal RNA
Source: RNAcentral
AUGGAGCACCGGCGUGAGUCCAUGGAGGAGGCGGAGAUCGCAGAUGAGGGGGAAGACGAAGAAUCUCCGGUGAUGCAGGGCGUCCUCGCCGAUCGAACUCCUCAAACCAGAGAUGUUUCAUUCCGAGGUAGAAGCAGAGUCUGGGAAACAGGGCCCCCGAUCAGUGCUUCGCUUGGCGCCAUGAGACCCCUUGUCUGGAAGCUGGACAUGCUGCUUAUAGCUCCUCCUCGGGAAUGCUCCUCGGAGAGUGUCAAGCACAAGAUGCAGCUCCUCAAAGAAGAUGUAGAAGAAAUAAGCUUCUGCCUUGAUACAAUGUCACAAGUGGAGGACCCUCCCCAGACUGCCAAGUGUUGGAUGAAUGAGGUGCGCGACCUGUCUUACAACAUGGAGGAUUACAUCAACAGCUUACAUAUGCGAGCUGCAGAUCCCUCCCUCAUUGCCGACGGCAUCAAGACCACUAGGUCCCACCGCAAAUGGUUCAGUCAUGUUAGGACUCCCAAGAAGCUUACGUGUGAGGAGCAGAUUGUGGAAUCAGUAUCUGAAUUCAGGAUAUAUAUCGGUGACGCGAUGAAACGACACAAGAUGUAUGGUCUAAGUUUUUUUAGCACCUUGAAGCGUACACUUGUGCCCGUUGGCCCUAUGCUUCAAACGCCAGCGCCGUACGGAGAAACAUCGGACAUAGUAAUCAAUGACCGCAUGAAUGAGUUUAUUAACUCAGUGGCUACCGAUGGGGCAGAUCAGCAGCAGCACAAGGUGUUAUCUGUUUUGGGAUCUGCUUGUCUUGGUAAGACUACACUUGCUAGAGUUUUAUACAACAGAAUUGGGUUGCAAUUUGAUUGUCGAGCAUUCAUUCGAGUGUCAAAAAAUCCUGAUAUGAAGAAAAUUUUAUGGGAUACGCUCUUGCAACUGGAGCAGCAGCAGUACCCACCACAAUACUGUAAGGUGGUUGACCUCAUUAACAAGAUAAAAAAUUAUCUACAAGACAAAAGGUACUUAAUUAUUGUUGAUGAUGUGUGGUCUGCAUCAGUAUGGGAUAGCAUCAAUCGUGCUUUUCCAAAGGUUAGUCAUGGCAGCAGAAUAAUAACAACUACACAGAUCGAAGACGUUGCUUUCAGAUGUUGCCGUUAUCAGUCAGAGCAGGUGUUUGAGAUGAAACCCCUAGAUGAUCGUCACUCAAGAAAGCUUUUCUUUAACAGACUUUUUGGCUCUGAAAGUAAUUGCCCUGAACAGUUCAAAAAGGUUUCAAAUGAAAUUGUUGCAAUGUGUGGUGGUUUGCCGCUAGCAACAAUUAGCAUAGCUAGUCUUUUAGCAAGCCAGCCCGCCACGACAGAGGAUUUAUUGAAGCACAUCCAUGGCUCACUGAGCUCUCUUUUCUCAGCAAAUCCUACCUCAGAAAGAACGAGACAAGCACUGAAUCUGAGCUUUAAGAACCUUCCUCAAUAUUUGAGGACAUGCUUGCUCUAUGUUAGUAUGUAUCAAGAGGGAUACACAUUCUGCAAGAAUGAUUUGGUGAAGCAAUGGAUGGCCGAAGGUUUCAUCAAUACAACCAAAGGGGAAGAUAUGGAGAAAGUUGCAGAAAGCUAUCUCCAUCAACUUAUUGGUAGAAAAUUCAUCCAGCCUAUAUGUAUGGACUACAACAAUGAGGUGUUGUCGUGUGUAGUUCAUGAUCUGGUACAUGAUCUUAUUGCAGAAAAGUCCGCGGAAGACAAUUUCAUUCUGGCAAUAGACUAUAGUGAAAAGGAUAUGGCGCUUUCUCAUAAGGCCCGUCGACUCUCUAUCCUCUUUGGCGAUGCAAGAGAUUCCAAAGCACCAGCAUACAUCAUAAAGUCACAAGUUCGGUCACUCACAUUUUCCGGGUUAUUUGAGUGUAUGCCUAGUAUUCCAGAGUUCAAGCUUCUUCGUGUUCUAAACCUUCAACUAUCCAAUUACGGUGGCUCCAAAGGACUCUGCCAUGACAACAACCCUGUAGACCUCAGUGUGAUUUCAGAACUGUCUCGAUUGAGAUAUUUGAAGAUUGCAUCUCAUCUCUGUAUAAAACUGCCAGAUUAUAUGGGAGGGCUGCAUUGUUUGGAAACACUGGAUAUUAUGGAUGCAACAGUCCUCAAAUUUAGAAUUAGUGCCUGUUUCCCAUACUUGUUGCACAUGUACCUCAGUCUCCUUGAUGGGAGAAAUGUGCAGAAUUGGAUUGAAGAGAUGUCGGACAUUCACAAGCUGAAACACCUGCAGGAUCUUCGUCUUAUCUUUUCUUCAGCACGGUCUUUAUCUCGGGAAGAAAACAUGAGAAGUCUGCGAGAUUUUAUCAGCGGGCAUGGUAACCUGAAAACUAUAGUAGUGGCUUGUGGCUCCCCAGAUAAGGUUAUUGACUGCGCUUCAGAUGCAACCAUUUCAUGGGAUGACAUGGCACCUCCCCCACUCCUCCAGAGAUUUGAAUUCUCGCCGCACGGAGGCUGCAUAUUCUCACGAAUACCACUGUGGGUUGAGAAACACAACCAUCUAAGCAUUUUGAAGAUUGCUGUGAAGGAACUUCAGAUGAUUUGUGUUGGUUUUCUCAGAGGAUUGCCUGCCCUCACUGCUCUGUCUCUGCAUGUGGAGACAAUGCCCGUUCACAAGAUCAUAUUUGACAAGCCCGGGUUCUCAGUUCUCAAGUACUUCAGGUUGAAGUUCAUGAAUGGUAUAGGUUGGCUAAAAUUUGAGGAGGAUGCAAUGCCUAAUCUAUUGAAGCUAAAGCUAGUUUUCAAUGCCAUCCCACAAAUCGACCAAUAUGAACAUGGUAUUCUCAGUAUCGACCAUAUGCCUAGCCUUAAAGAAAUCUCUGUAAAAUUUGGGGGUACAACUGCUGGUCGAGAGUAUGCAUUUGUUAAUAAUCAUAAGAGCAAUCCUUGGAUCAACAGGCAGUCGGUGGUUUAUAGUUCUAACGGCGACGAAAGCAGAAACCAGAAAAAACUGAAAUAUGAGAUUCUGGAGGAAGAACGAGAUGAGAUUGUGGAGGGAGAAAGAGAUGAAUACGAUAAGGAAUUGAAGAGCCGUCCUGAUCAAAGGAUUUCAAGAUCGCUGGAGUUUUCUUCCCGACCAUAUGUUCGAGCCCUACCCAUUGAUACAAUGGGACAGUGCUACGGCGAGGGCAUGUCCUCGCGCGCCAUGGAAGAUGACUUAGGAGUCGUGGUGGAGAUGCCCUCCCCUCCCCCGGCCAAUGGCAUGCCCCAAACAGCAUCACCGAAAGCCACGCCGGUGGCCACGGUCGGGACCCCGAGGUGCCGUAAGUCAGGAUCAACCACGCCCAUACAGCAGACGCCGCCCGGGGUGUCGCCUUCGUCGGUGAGGUCCACGUCCAGGAUGUUCUUCAAGCACCCCUUCCCAUCGCCAUCGCUGGCCAAGCACAUCAAGUCCAUGCUUCCCAAGAGGCUGGGCGGACGGAAGCCCAAGAAGGGGACAGUACCGGAGAAAGGCGGUGGUGGCAUCGGAGCCGCUGGGGAUGGGGCGGAAGUGGAAAGACCAUUAGACAAGACGUUUGGAUUCGUGGAAAACCACAGGGCCAAGUACGAGCUCGGGGAGGAGGUGGGGAGGGGCCACUUCGGGUACGUCUGCUCGGCCGUCGUGAAGGAGGGCGAGUACAAGGGACAGACCGCCGCUGUUAAGGUUAUCCCCAAAGCUAAGAUGACAACAGCCAUAUCCAUUGAAGAUGUUCGUGGGGAAGUGAAGAUUUUGAAAGCUCUAUCAGGGCAUAAGAAUCUUGUCAAAUUUUAUGACGCAUACGAGGAUGAUGAGAAUGUCUACAUUGUCAUGGAAUUAUGUGAGGGUGGAGAGUUGCUAGACAGAAUAUUAGCCAGAGGUGGGAGAUACAUAGAAGAAGAUGCUAAAGCGAUCGUUGUACAGAUUUUGAGUGCGGUGGCCUUCUGUCAUCUUCAGGGAGUAGUGCAUCGUGAUUUGAAGCCAGAGAACUUCCUUUUCACAACAAGAGAUGAAAAUGCUCCAAUGAAGUUGAUUGAUUUUGGACUCUCUGAUUUCAUUAGACCAGAUGAAAGGCUUAAUGAUAUUACUGGAUCUGCAUAUUAUGUUGCCCCAGAGGUUCUACGCAGAUCAUACAGUACGGAGGCAGACAUUUGGAGUAUAGGUGUCAUAACAUACAUUCUGCUCUGUGGUAGUCGGCCAUUUUGGGCACGGACAGAAUCUGGAAUCUUCCGAUCUGUAUUAAAAGAUAUUCCCAACUUUGAUGAUUCACCAUGGCCUUCAGUGUCAGCUGAAGCUAAGGAUUUUGUGAAGAUAUUUUUAAACAGGGAUUACCGCAAAAGAAUGAGUGCUGUUCAGGCACUGACUCACCCGUGGUUGCAGGAUGAUCAAAGACAGAUUCCGCUGGACCAUCUUAUUUACAGAUUUAUUAAGCAAUACCUUCGUGUCACACUUCUUACACGUUUGGCGCUAAAGGCAUUAUCCAAGGCUUUAAAGGAUAAUGAACUCUUGUAUCUUAGGCUACAGUUUAAACUGCUUGAACCUAGAGAUGGUGUUGUGUCAAUUGACAACUUUCGGACGGCUUUAACGCGGUAUCUAACUGAUGUGAUGAAGGAAUCAAGAACUCCUGAGUUUUUGGAUGCGUUGGAACCACUUGCACACAGGAGUAUGGAUUUCGACGAAUUCUGUGCUGCAGCUAUCAGCCCUUACCAACUUGCGGCCCUGGACAGAUGGGAGGAGAUUGCUCGAACAGCUUUUCAGAACUUUGAACAGGACGGCAACCGAGUAAUAUCAAUUGAGGAGUUCGCACAGGAACUAAAUGUUGCUCCAACUAAUAACUCCAUUGUGCAAGAUUUGAUCAGAAACACAGAUGGCAAGCUAACCUUUCUUGGGUUUAUCCAAAUUUUACAUCGUGGUGUAACUCCCUCCAUUCGUAACACCAAUAGAAAAACGACUUUACGUGAGCCCCAUUAG